UAUAAGGGUGCGGUUAUUUUUUCUCAUCUUAGUUUGCUAUUUUGGCGCGAUUUUGACAAUUUCUGGCGCAUUCCACUUAUUUACUUUAGCGGCCAUAGGGCAAUGGUUUACUAACGGGAGAUGUGAUGAAUUACAGCAGCAAUACUUGAAAUAUAAGGAAGAACUGAAGCAAUUAUGAUACCUAUUAUUUUUUAUAAUGACAGAAGGAACGUGGAAGAAAAAACAUUUUGUGCAGCAUGUGAAAACAAGGAAUUAGAAUGAAGGAAGGGCUGCUACUUUUCAUGCUCCCGAAACCAGCCAUCUCAUCAUCAUAGCAUGUUGCAUUGGAGCUCUGCUGGAGUUUGCUGAUGACAGGAUGCUGAAGGGCUGAAGCUGGUAGCUCUGGCAGGAGUCCAGUGUCCACCAGCUCAAGAUCCGACGCCGCCGCGUCGCCGCCGUGCGGCACUCCGCGGAGACGGGGACGGCGGUCAUGAUUGAAGACAUCGCAUUUCCCGCCUGGACUGUCCGGUCGGAGACUGGUAAUCCCUCCGGUGAGCCGCACACCGUGGAGCUACUGCACCGCGCGUGUCCACCCGCAGCGCAGUGCCAGCAACGGUGCCGUGAGUGCGACAUCUGCGUGCAUAUGACGCAGUGCGACUGUCACGACUCGCGGCUCAGUGUUCUGUCAGUGUGACAGUGCGGCUCGCGCUCGUUUUAGCGUGGUGCUCUGUUGUAUAUAACCACCUUGAUGGAGACCUAUGUGCUGCCGCUUGAGUUUCAAUGUACAGUUUUAUGCAUCAAACUAGCGUAAGUAAAUGGCUAUCAGAGGUCAAUUUGAAGCGCAAUUAGUACCCAUAACCCAGCUGGGUUGAGCGAGUCAUGUGACUAGUCCCGAUGAACGUACUGUUUCGAUGUCGUCAGUCGUAGACUUUUGUAAACCAUUCGUUUCGGAGCUCUGUGUUGUGUUGUUCGGGACCGCAGUUGUUUGAGCAGUUUGCUUUAUGCGUCGUACGCUGACAGAACGCUGGUCGUACACAAGCCAUGUGUUUCCUUUCGCCCCUAAUGUGUUUCUGCGGUACCUAUGCAGUUGUAAUGUGUAUACAUUACAACUGCAUUACAUACAUUACAUACAUUACAUACUCUAUACACUAAGGUCGACCACUAACUGGUCGCACUUGGUUGUGAAAAUGACACUAGCUGGUCGCACUUGGUUUCAAACUGCGCUUGGAAGUCGUGCAAUUUUAUUUGCAUUUUGCAAUGCAAUUUUGUUGCCGUUACCGUAUUGGUAGAUUGAGAUAGUGUCAGAAGUUGGCCAUUUGAUGCGUUGUCACUUGUCAGACGUUGUUGCCUUAGUACUGACGAAUUGAUGGGCCGCGUUUGUGUUCCUGUUAAGAAACGGAUCUCAAUAUAAGGUGAUUCAGAGGUAGGAACCUGAAUGCAUUC
This is a long non-coding RNA of Amphibalanus amphitrite, 1422 nucleotides long. RefSeq lists it as uncharacterized. The record is from RefSeq and is a predicted model, not a curated record. Lineage: Eukaryota; Metazoa; Arthropoda; Thecostraca; Balanomorpha; Balanidae. The transcript has 2 exons.